RNAcentral lists this unclassified non-coding RNA (253 nucleotides) under uncultured Hymenobacteraceae bacterium. RNAcentral's name for it is "contains 16S-23S intergenic spacer region". It matches the Rfam family "Bacterial small subunit ribosomal RNA", at positions 524 to 776 of the family's 1533-position model. Lineage: Bacteria; Pseudomonadati; Bacteroidota; Cytophagia; Cytophagales; Hymenobacteraceae. The record is from RNAcentral.
UACGGAGGGUGCGAGCGUUGUCCGGAUUUAUUGGGUUUAAAGGGUGCGUAGGCGGCCCGUUAAGUCAGCGGUGAAAUCCCCCGGCUCAACCGGGGAACUGCCGUUGAUACUGGCGGGCUUGAGUACAGACGAGGCAGGCGGAAUUGAUGGUGUAGCGGUGAAAUGCAUAGAUACCAUCAGGAACCCCGAUUGCGAAGGCAGCCUGCUAGGCUGUGACUGACGCUGAGGCACGAAAGCGUGGGGAGCGAACAGG